GCCGUUGUAGCGUAACGGAAGCGCGGGCGUCUCAUCAACGCAGGGUUGGAGGUUCAAAUCCUCCCAACGGCACCA
Molecule: transfer RNA, 75 nt
Filed under: Chloroflexota bacterium
Lineage: Bacteria; Bacillati; Chloroflexota
Description: tRNA-Met
Rfam family: tRNA
About the family: Transfer RNA (tRNA) molecules are approximately 80 nucleotides in length. Their secondary structure includes four short double-helical elements and three loops (D, anti-codon, and T loops).
Source: RNAcentral